GCUGGGUGUGGUGGCACGUGCCUGUAGUCCUAGCUACUUGGGAGGCUGAGGCUGGAGGAUCACUGGAGUCCAGGAGUUCUGGGCUGUAAUGCGCUAUGCCGAUCAGGUGUCCAAACUAAGUUCAGCAUCAAUAUGGUGACCUCCCGGGGGCGGGGGACCACCAGGUUGGCUAAGGAGGGGUGAAUCGGCCCAAGUCGGAAACGGAACAGGUCAAAACUCCCGUGCUGAUCAAUAGUGGGAUCGUGCCUGUGAAUAGCCACUGCAUUCCAGCCAGGGCAAUAUAGCGAGACCCCAUCUCU
This 299-nucleotide signal recognition particle RNA is filed under the name Cebus imitator (Panamanian white-faced capuchin). RNAcentral's name for it is "Metazoan signal recognition particle RNA (ENSCCAG00000004096.1)". It matches the Rfam family "Metazoan signal recognition particle RNA". From Rfam's summary of the family: The signal recognition particle (SRP) is a universally conserved ribonucleoprotein. It is involved in the co-translational targeting of proteins to membranes. Lineage: Eukaryota; Metazoa; Chordata; Mammalia; Primates; Cebidae. The record is from RNAcentral.